Notechis scutatus (mainland tiger snake) is the source of this 125-nucleotide non-coding RNA. The record is from RefSeq and is a predicted model, not a curated record. Lineage: Eukaryota; Metazoa; Chordata; Lepidosauria; Squamata; Elapidae.
UCUAUUUUGAAUACACCAUAGUGGGUGUAUUCCCAUUCUUGGGGACAUAUCGGGUGGGUGUGUUUGCUGUGUAUAUUGACAACAUGCAAGUUUUAGGGAAACCUAAAGUGAGAUCAGUCUCCUCC